UGCAGUCGAGCGGACUUGAUAGAGAAGCUUGCUUCUCUGAUGGUUAGCGGCGGACGGGUGAGUAACACGUAGGCAACCUGCCCUCAAGUUUGGGACAACUACCGGAAACGGUAGCUAAUACCGAAUAGUUGUUUUCUUCGCCUGAAGGAAACUGGAAAGACGGAGCAAUCUGUCACUUGGGGAUGGGCCUGCGGCGCAUUAGCUAGUUGGUGGGGUAACGGCUCACCAAGGCGACGAUGCGUAGCCGACCUGAGAGGGUGAUCGGCCACACUGGGACUGAGACACGGCCCAGACUCCUACGGGAGGCAGCAGUAGGGAAUCUUCCGCAAUGGGCGAAAGCCUGACGGAGCAAUGCCGCGUGAGUGAUGAAGGUUUUCGGAUCGUAAAGCUCUGUUGCCAGGGAAGAACGCUUGGGAGAGUAACUGCUCUCAAGGUGACGGUACCUG
RNAcentral lists this ribosomal RNA (446 nucleotides) under Paenibacillus amylolyticus. RNAcentral describes it as "bacterial SSU rRNA". It matches the Rfam family "Bacterial small subunit ribosomal RNA", at positions 56 to 481 of the family's 1533-position model. The record is from RNAcentral. Lineage: Bacteria; Bacillati; Bacillota; Bacilli; Caryophanales; Paenibacillaceae.